Molecule: ribosomal RNA, 434 nt
Filed under: uncultured bacterium
Lineage: Bacteria
Description: partial 16S ribosomal RNA
Rfam family: Bacterial small subunit ribosomal RNA
Source: RNAcentral
AGCGAACGCUGGCGGCAGGCCUAACACAUGCCAGUCGAACGAACCUUUCGGGGUUAGUGGCGGACGGGUGAGUAACACGUGGGAACGUGCCCUUAGGUUCGGAAUAACUCAGGGAAACUUGUGCUAAUACCGAAUGUGCCCUUCGGGGGAAAGAUUAAUCGCCUUUAGAGCGGCCCGCGUCUGAUUAGCUAGUUGGUUGAGGUAAUGGCUCACCAAGGCGACGAUCAGUAGCUGGUCUGAGAGGAUGAUCAGCCACAUUGGGACUGAGACACGGCCCAAACUCCUACGGGAGGCAGCAGUGGGGAAUCUUGCGCAAUGGGCGAAAGCCUGACGCAGCCAUGCCGCGUGAAUGAUGAAGGUCUUAGGAUUGUAAAAUUCUUUCACCGGGGACGAUAAUGACGGUACCCGGAGAAGAAGCCCCGGCUAACUUCGUG